AUUGAACGCUGGCGGCAUGCCUUACACAUGCAAGUCGAACGGCAGCGGGGGAGAAGCUUGCUUUUCCUGCCGGCGAGUGGCGAACGGGUGAGUAAUACAUCGGAACGUGCCCUGUAGUGGGGGAUAACUAGUCGAAAGAUUAGCUAAUACCGCAUACGACCUGAGGGUGAAAGGGGGGGACCGCAAGGCCUCAUGCUAUAGGAGCGGCCGAUGUCGGAUUAGCUAGUUGGUGGGGUAAAGGCCUACCAAGGCGACGAUCAGUAGCUGGUCUGAGAGGACGAUCAGCCACACUGGGACUGAGACACGGCCCAGACUCCUACGGGAGGUAGCAGUGGGGAAUUUUGGACAAUGGGCGAAAGCCUGAUCCAGCAAUGCCGCGUGUGUGAAGAAGGCCUUCGGGUUGUAAAGCACUUUUGUCCGGAAAGAAAUGGCUCUGGUUAAUACCUGGGGUCGAUGACGGUACCGCAAGAAUAAGGACCGGCUAACUACGUGCCAGCAGCAGCCGCCG
This 508-nucleotide ribosomal RNA is filed under the name uncultured bacterium. RNAcentral describes it as "partial 16S ribosomal RNA". It matches the Rfam family "Bacterial small subunit ribosomal RNA", at positions 30 to 523 of the family's 1533-position model. The record is from RNAcentral.